UACGGGGGGAGCAAGCGUUGUUCGGAUUUACUGGGCGUAAAGCGUGCGUAGACGGUUAUUUAAGUCGGGUGUGAAAGCCCCGGGCUCAACCUGGGAAUUGCAUUCGAGACUGAAUAGCUAGGGUACGGUAGAGGGAAGUGGAAUUUCCGGUGUAGCGGUGAAAUGCGUAGAUAUCGGAAGGAACAUCAGUGGCGAAAGCGACUUCCUGGACCAGUACCGACGUUCAGGCACGAAAGCGUGGGGAGCAAACAGG
Molecule: ribosomal RNA, 253 nt
Filed under: uncultured bacterium
Lineage: Bacteria
Description: partial 16S ribosomal RNA
Rfam family: Bacterial small subunit ribosomal RNA
Source: RNAcentral